GACAAACGCUGGCGGAAUGUAUUAGGCAUGCAAGUCGCACGAGCCUUCGGGCUAGUGGCGGACGGGUGAGUAACACGUGGGUAACCUGCCUCGUAGUGGGGAAUAACUCGCCGAAAGGCG
RNAcentral lists this ribosomal RNA (120 nucleotides) under uncultured bacterium. Its description in RNAcentral is "partial 16S ribosomal RNA". It matches the Rfam family "Bacterial small subunit ribosomal RNA", at positions 28 to 160 of the family's 1533-position model. The record is from RNAcentral.